GCUUUCAGAACCCAUGCACCCAGAACCAAGUUCGGCCGUCAGCCACAUGGAAAGGCAGCACCCCAUCCCUUCCCCUUAGCACUUCCUGACCCUUCUCCUUUUGCUUCCUACUCCUAGUUUUCCCCCUUCCGCAAAGAAAAGAGUUCUAAACCAGAUCACAGUAAGACCUUAGGGAUGAAAGUAGCCAUCCCCUUCUGAAGGUGUUUGCAUUCUACAGAAUGGAAGGAUUCUGGCCAGGGCUGCAGCAGGUAGUGGUGAGCAUGAAGCCAGGAAGGCUAAGAUCAAAAUCGGGGACCCUGCGGGAGAUUGGAGGGGACUUCUGAGUGUACCUCACAUUCCAUCAGAUAGGCCCUAAUCAUUUUGCCAAAGGGAGGGAUUUGAGGGGAUCAUAGCAAAGGUUCUCUUAUCAGGACAGCCCCAGGAAGCCCUGCAAAGGUGAGGAGAGACAGCCAAUGAAGGAUGAAGCUGUGUGAAUUUUAGCUUCAGCCUCAGGUUCUGCUCAGCAAAAGUGGAAGAUCUGGUCAUUUAUAGACUCCUGGACUUAAAUCAAAAGAGCCAGAACCUCGACAUAGCGACUCCAGGAGCUAGGUGACACUGAAGUCACCUUACCCCUCCAUAUCCUGUAAAACAGGGAUGAUCACAAGAGAAAGUUGUGGAGCUGAAAUGGGCUGAUGCACUCGAAGGCUUUUUCACUCAGAGACGGUCAGAAGACAUUUGCCAGAUGAUUUCCAGAUGUGUCAGAAUGGGGAGCACUCUCUUUUGAGCAGGAUAGCUCUCUCCCACACUUAAUGUAUGCCUGAGAGGAGAGAGAGAGACAAAGAAUGAUCAGACUGUACACCAUUUGUGGACAAAGGGUCAUCAUAGGGCUUUGACAAUUCUCCAAGAGCACUGGUUCCACAUAGAAGCUGGCUUCACAGGCUGGCAUUGGGAUUAGGCCAGAGGUCAGAUAGUAGGUGUGGCAAGGCCCCAGGUGGGCUAAGGCUGGCCAUGGAGACAGGUGGGCUUUCCUGUUGAAUGCUUCCAGGGAAGUCAUGCCGUCUGGAACCUCAGAUUUGGCAAAUCAGCAAA
This 1068-nucleotide long non-coding RNA is filed under the name Homo sapiens (human). RNAcentral's name for it is "novel transcript". The record is from RNAcentral. Lineage: Eukaryota; Metazoa; Chordata; Mammalia; Primates; Hominidae.